CGGGGGUGCUCCCAAUAGCACCCAUGCGCAGGCAGGGCGGGGGGGUGCGUACAAAGGUUUCGAAUGGGUGGGUGGUGGUGUUCCGGGAGCUAGAUAGUGGAGAGGUUUUAGAUUGGAAGAUAGACGAUAACGAGAGAGAGAUGCUCGAGCUCGCUGCACAGGC
RNAcentral lists this small RNA (163 nucleotides) under uncultured eukaryote. RNAcentral describes it as "partial Betaproteobacteria transfer-messenger RNA". The record is from RNAcentral.